CCUAAGAGUAAGCUAGAAAUUUGUGUAUUAGUUAUUUCACCUGAAGGACCAGUUGGCAAAGUCUCAAAAGGCAGGAUCUCCUAGGUUAUCAUUUAGAUUGGGGUGGCCAAAAGGGAUUGAAUAUCUGCAGAACAUGGCUAAAGGACUGUUUAUACCAAGUGGGUUCCUCCUUCCUGUGGAUGCUUCAUGUUUCUGUCAGAAGCAGUAGGAAAAUGGCUCCCACCUUUCUUCUGCCUUCCAAAAUUUAACUCAAGGACACCUAAUAAGCUGAAUCUAAUUGCAAAGGAACCAGAUUUCCUACCUCUCCAACUAGAAAGAAGUUAAUCAGAGACUAAGAGGCUCAUCCAAAUGGCCCACCAAUUUAAUGUAUUGGGGACUUUCCAUUUCAGUUUGUUAUCUGUUCUGAUACCUAUUUCUGUCUGUGUAGCUAAUAGUAAGCACUAAGAGCCUUUCUUCAUUGACCUUUUCAUUUUUUAAAUAUUUUCUUGAAUAUUUU
This 496-nucleotide long non-coding RNA is filed under the name Marmota monax (woodchuck). The record is from RNAcentral. Lineage: Eukaryota; Metazoa; Chordata; Mammalia; Rodentia; Sciuridae.